Molecule: ribosomal RNA, 253 nt
Filed under: uncultured bacterium
Lineage: Bacteria
Description: partial 16S ribosomal RNA
Rfam family: Bacterial small subunit ribosomal RNA
Source: RNAcentral
UACAGAGGGUGCGAGCGUUGUCCGGAAUCACUGGGCGUAAAGGGCGCGUAGGUGGCCUGGUAAGUAGGGGGUGAAACCCUGCGGCUUAACUGCAGGACUGCCUCCUAGACUGCUAGGCUCGAGCACGGUAGAGGCUGGUGGAAUUCCCGGUGUAGCGGUGGAAUGCGUAGAGAUCGGGAAGAACAUCGGUGGCGAAGGCGGCCAGCUGGGCCGUUGCUGACACUGAGGCGCGACAGCGUGGGGAGCAAACAGG